GAUGAAGAACGUAGCGAAAUGCGAUAAGUAAUGUGAAUUGCAGAAUUCAGUGAGUCAUCGAAUCUUUGAACGCACAUUGCGCCCUGUGGUAUUCCGCAGGGCAUGCCUGUUCGAGCGUCAUUUCAACCCUCAAGCCCCGCUUGGUGUUGGGCCCCGCCCGCUGUGGCCGGCCCUAAAGACAGUGGCGGCGCCGCCUGGCCCUCAGCGUAGUACAUCUCUCGCUCCAGGGUCCGGUGGCCGCCUGCCAGAACCCCCCAACUCUGUGGUUGACCUCGGAUCAGGCAGGGAUACCCGCUGAACUUAAGCAUAUCAAUAAGCGGAGGA
This 324-nucleotide unclassified non-coding RNA is filed under the name soil metagenome. Its description in RNAcentral is "partial contains 5.8S ribosomal RNA, internal transcribed spacer 2, and large subunit ribosomal RNA". The stretch from base 1 to 120 matches the Rfam family "5.8S ribosomal RNA", at positions 35 to 154 of the family's 154-position model. The record is from RNAcentral.